UAAGAGAAUACUUCAGGAAUAAGUGACGGCUAAAUACGUGCCAGCAGCCGCGGUAAUACGUAUGUCUCAAGCGUACCCGGAAUCAUUGGGUGUAAAAGGGUUUGUAGGUGGAUAAUUAAGUCAGGUAUGAAAGACCGGAGCUCAACUCCGUGUUUGUAUUUGAAACUGGUUUGUCUAGAAUCAGGGAGAGGUAAGCGGAAUUCUAAGUGUAGGGGUGCAAUCCGUAGAUACUUAGAGGAACACCAAAAGCGAAGGCAGCUUACUGGAACUGUAUUGACACUGAUAAACGAAAGCGUGGGGAGCGAAAAGGAUUAGAUACCCUUGUAGUCCACGCCCUAAACGUUGAUAACUAAGUGUUGCGACUCGCUCGCAGUGCUGAAGCUAACGCGAUAAGUUAUCCACCUGAGGAGUACGGUCGCAAGAUUAAAACUCAAAGGAAUAGACGGGGACCCACACAAGCAGUGGAUCACGUGGUUUAAUUCGACAAUAAACGGGGAACCUUACCCAGACUUGACAUCUACCGAAUUUCCUAGAGAUAGGAGAGUGCCUUUAUUGGAGCGGUAAGACAGGUGCUGCAUGGUUGUCGUCAGCUCGUGCCUUGAGGUGUUCGGUUAAGUCCGUUAACGAGCGCAACCCAUGUCUUUAGUUAUUAUGUCUAAAGAGACUGCCUUGGUUAACAAGGAGGAAGGUGUGGAUGACGUCAAAUCAGCAUGGCUUUUACGUCUGGGGCUACACACAUGAUACAAUGGUAUGUACAAAGAGCAGCAAUACAGUAAUGUGGAGCCAAUCUUAAAAGCAUAUCUCAGUCCGGAUUGAGGGCUGCAACUCGCCCUCAUGAAGUUGGAAUUGCUAGUAAUCGUAAAUCAGACAUGUUACGGUGAAUAUGUUCCUGGGUCUUGUACUCACCGCCCGUCAUGGCAUGGGAGGCAGUAAUAUUGGAAGCCCCUCUAGUAAUAUGAGGGUCCAUAGUAGGACUGCUGACUGGGCUAAAGUCGUAACAAGGUAACC
RNAcentral lists this ribosomal RNA (1008 nucleotides) under uncultured bacterium. RNAcentral describes it as "bacterial SSU rRNA". It matches the Rfam family "Bacterial small subunit ribosomal RNA", at positions 468 to 1501 of the family's 1533-position model. The record is from RNAcentral.